Molecule: ribosomal RNA, 1157 nt
Filed under: uncultured bacterium
Lineage: Bacteria
Description: bacterial SSU rRNA
Rfam family: Bacterial small subunit ribosomal RNA
Source: RNAcentral
UCCUACGGGAGGCAGCAGUGAGGAAUAUUGGUCAAUGGCCGGAAGGCUGAACCAGCCAAGUAGCGUGCAGGAUGACUGCCUUAUGGGUUGUAAACUGCUUUUUUACGGGAAUAAUUAUGAUCACGUGUGAUUAUUUGCAUGUACCGUAAGAAUAAGGAUCGGCUAACUCCGUGCCAGCAGCCGCGGUAAUACGGAGGAUCCUAGUGUUAUCCGGAUUUAUUGGGUUUAAAGGGAGCGUAGGCGGGAGGUCAAGUCAGCUGUGAAAUGUAUCUGCUUAACGGGUACACUGCAGUUGAAACUGGUUUUCUUGAGUGCGUAAGAGGCAGGCGGAAUUCGUUGUGUAGCGGUGAAAUGCUUAGAUAUGACGAGGAACUCCUAUUGCGAAGGCAGCUUGCUGGGUCGUUACUGACGCUGAUGCUCGAAGGUGCGGGGAUCAAACAGGAUUAGAUACCCUGGUAGUCCGCACAGUAAACUAUGGAUACUCUCUGCCGGCGAUAUAUUGUCGGUGGCCAAGCGAAAGCGUUAAGUAUCCCACCUGGGGAGUACGUUCGCAAGAAUGAAACUCAAAGGAAUUGACGGGGGCCCGCACAAGCGGAGGAACAUGUGGUUUAAUUCGAUGAUACGCGAGGAACCUUACCCGGGUUUGAAUUGCUGAUGGCGAUAAUUGGAGACAUUUAUUUCCCUUCGGGGCGUCAGUGAAGGUGCUGCAUGGUUGUCGUCAGCUCGUGCCGUGAGGUGUCGGCUUAAGUGCCAUAACGAGCGCAACCCUUGCCGUUAGUUGCCAUCGGGUCAUGCCGGGCACUCUAUUGGGACUGCCAUCGUAAGAUGUGAGGAAGGUGGGGAUGACGUCAAAUCAGCACGGCCCUUAUGUCCGGGGCGACACACGUGUUACAAUGGGGGGUACAGUGGGAAGCUACCUGGUGACAGGUUGCGGAUCCCCAAAUCCUUUCUCAGUUCGGAUCGGAGUCUGUAACUCGACUCCGUGAAGUUGGAUUCGCUAGUAAUCGCGCAUCAGCCAUGGCGCGGUGAAUACGUUCCCGGGCCUUGUACACACCGCCCGUCAAGCCAUGAAAGCUGGGGGCGCCUGAAGUCCGUAACCGCGAGGAUCGGCCUAGGGUGAACCUGGUGAUUGGGGCUAAGUCGUAACAAGGUAACCA